UAAUACGUGGGGAGCAAGCGUUGUUCGGAUUUACUGGGCGUAAAGAGCUCGUAGGCGGAUGCGUAAGUCGGAUGUGAAAUCCUUUGGCUCAACCAGAGAAUUGCACCCGAAACUGCAUGUCUUGAGUUCAGCAGAGGGAAUCGGAAUCUAGGGUGUAGCGGUGAAAUGCGUAGAUAUCCUAGAGAACACCAGUGGCGAAGGCGGAUUCCUGGGCUGACACUGACGCUGAGGAGCGAAAGCUGGGGGAGCGAACAGGAUUAGAUACCCUGGUAGUCCCAGCCGUAAACGAUGGGUACUAGGUGUUGGGGGAUGUUGACCCCUUCAGUGCCGAAGCUAACGCAUUAAGUACCCCGCCUGGGGAGUACGGUCGCAAGGCUG
This 378-nucleotide ribosomal RNA is filed under the name uncultured bacterium. RNAcentral describes it as "bacterial SSU rRNA". It matches the Rfam family "Bacterial small subunit ribosomal RNA", at positions 521 to 896 of the family's 1533-position model. RNAcentral also lists the same sequence under 1 other name. The record is from RNAcentral.